UCUAGCUCCUCCCACCAGCCUCCACUGGCAGGUGUGUGUGUGUGUGUGCUAACGUUCUUACGUGUGUGUGUGUGGGGGCAGUUCAGUGUGCUUGCAGGUUAAUAUGCGCAUGUGCCUCUACUGUACAUGUGUCUAUUAAAGCAGAGUCAGUACUCAGAGAGAGACAGAGACAGACAGAGAGACAGAGAGAUAGACAGACAGACAGACAGACAGACAGACAGACAGACAGACAGACAGACAGACAGACAGACAGACAGACAGACAGACAGACAGACAGACAGACAGACAGACAGACAGACAGACAGACAGAGAGACAGAGAGACAGACAGACAGACAGACAGACAGACAGACAGACAGACAGACAGACAGACAGACAGACAGAGAGACAGACAGACAGACAGACAGACACCAUGUCUCCCUCCCAGUCCUCCCUACUGCUGCUGCUGAUGGUCUCCUGCUCCUGGGCCUCCCACUUCUUAGGAGGAACCAUGACCUUCAACCCCAGAGGGACCAACCCAGAUGGGACCUACAGGGUGGACCUUCGUUACAAGACAGCCUUCCACUAUUCCAUCUGUCUUUCUGAUACCUGGUGGUGUGUCAGUGGGGACUGUGGGAAUGAGACCAGUCUAGUGGUUAAGGGAGUGGACCAGGGGAUAUCUGAGGACUGGUGUCAGACAGAAGGAGUCAUGACUAGACACGUCUCCAUUAACACACAGACUUUUGAUCUGCGAUUGGAUAGCUGUUGCUGGAUAGACAAUGAUAAUGAUGUUUAUUUUUGGAGGCUGUUGACUCAUGUGGAUCUUGGGGUCAGGUCUGACACGGGGACAGUCAACCGAUCUCCACAGACCACUGUCAUACCUCUGAUGAGUGUCCCUGCUAAUUGUCAAAGAGAUUUCAACCUGUUGCUGUUUGAUCCAGAUGGGGAUAUGGUCAGAUGCAGAUACGCAGUACCAACGGAUGAGUGUUACACAUCAAGUGACCUUCCUAAUGACUUCACUCUACGAGAGAACUGCACCUUGUCAUUUUGGGGCAACAGUAAUACCACUGGAACAUAUGUAGUUCAGAUGGUGAUGGAGGAUUUCCCGACUCAGUCCAUCUCUCUCUCCUAUACUGACGGAUCUCAAUCUAACAGGACCUCAAACAAUACACUCUGCAAACUGCCUGUUCAGUUUGCAGUGAGAGUGGACCCCCCGGUGACAUCCUGUAUGGAGGGGCUGUACCUACCCAUGUUCCUGUCUCCAACACCAGCCCAGGGUGCACUGCUGUACGCCUCUGCAGACCAACCCCUGGAAAUCACUGUCAGAGCACAGGCUACCAACUCCACGGUUUCAGAGCUGUUGGUGAGUGGACCUUCCGGUAUCACAGAGAACACCACUGAUCCAGGAGAGUACCUUCUAAGAUGGACGCCCACUGAGGAUGAGGAGGGAGGGUACUAUCCUGUGUGCUUCAUCGCUCAGGGAGUGAACGACAGUUCCACGUACCACUCUGAGCUGCGCUGUGUGAUCGUCAGGGUUGGAAACACAAGCGGAGACGUUGUUGUACUGAGGACAAAAGUGUCCGCUCUGAUCCCACUGACAGAUAAUUACAUCAGAAACAUGGUGUUUCAGCAGCUCCGUGAGGAACUGAUCAGACUAGGGCUGCCAGGGGACUUCACGCUACGCCUGUUAGCCACUCAUGACAUCAGUCCCUGAGGGAGGAACAGGAAAUCAGCUCGACUUUCUUCACUUCUACUUGUCUUUUCUUCCUGGUUCUGAUUCUGCAGAUAGUUCUUUUGAAGAAGGAGUGAUUCCUUAUAAUGACAGAAUACGGUUGAUUUGUAAUAAUCUCCUGUGGGUUGCCAAGAUUAGUUGAAUUAACUGACACUACGUCUUACUGGAUGUUAGUUGAAUGAUUUAAAAGUAAAUGAUUUAUGUCUACAAGAAGAAAUGCAACAUAAAUAUGAUUGGUAAUGUACAGAGGUAGACUGAGGUUCUUUCCUGUUUGGUAAUGUACAGAGGUAGACUGAGGUUCUUUCCUGUUUGGUAAUGUACAAAGGUAGACUGAGGUUCUUUCCUGUAGACAGGUUAUUAAACAUUGGGAGAUAUAAUGUUGUUUUCCUUAAGGUGUGAAUCAUAUAGACUGUGUUUGAUUAGGCUUAGAGGACAAGGCCUUAGGAGGUUGAUAAUGAGACGUUAUAAUGGUAAAAUGUUAUAAUGUUGAAAUGUUUAAAAUAUUGAUGUAUUGAGAUAUAACUUGAGUAAUAAAUUAGGUUGUAGAAAGACUAUAAUUUAGUUAAAGGUAGGAGGGUGAAGGGAAUAGGAAAGUUUCAUGUUUGAAAAAUGUAUGUUUUAAGAAGUUGAUGUUCAUGAAGUAUAUUAAGGGUGCUAGCUUGAUCUGGAAAUCCCCAGGUCAGAGCAGCAAGUAGGUUGAAGCGUACGUUCUGCCUAGGUGGGAAAACGUGGAGGUUAGUGGGGGCUGAAAAAGCACCUUUUGAGAAGAUGGAUGCAUUCAUUAGGUGUUAACCACCGAAGGCAUCAGUGGAGCAGGUGGUCAUCCUGAUGAUUUAUCAGAAGAGGCAUUAAGGGUAUAAAGGAAGCAGGUUUCAUGGGAAGGGAAUGACUCUCUUUGAGUUUGCUAGAAGAACCUGUCGUCUGCUGGAGAAAGACUUUUACUGAAGCUUUUUAACUUCAGAUUCAUUUAGAUUUUUAAUAUACUUGGUUUUUUAUUCUGAAAGUGUUCUAGUACAUUCUAGGAGGAACCCUGAAUGUUACCUCAUUGAUAGGAGUGUUCUAGUACAUUCUAGGAGGAACCCUAAAGGUUACCUCAUUGAUAGGAGUGUUCUAGUACAUUUUAGGAGGAACCCUGAAGGUUACCUCAUUGAUAGAAGUGUUCUAGUACAUUUUAGGAGGAACCCUGAAGGUUACCUCACUGAUAGGAGUGUUCUAGUAGCUGUUAGUUUUUUAGACACCAACUGAGGGACUGAGAAACCUGAAGGGGGAGACAAAAAUCUGUUUAUAAUUUGUAGAAGGUAAGAACUUGUUUUUCUUGUUAUUGAACACUGUGCUUCUCAUAAAAUUGUUAUAGACCAAACAUAUUUUAUUGACACACACUAAUAAGGGUUUAGAUAAGGGUUUAGUUAUGGGCGCUGAAGGCAUCUCUCAAUUUAAUCCAAGUUAUAUUUUUGCUUAUCAUCGAUUGGGGAUAUUGAUUUAUGAUUGAUUGAUUGAUCUGUGAUUUUUAAUGCC
RNAcentral lists this long non-coding RNA (3224 nucleotides) under Salmo salar (Atlantic salmon). RNAcentral describes it as "lncRNA (ENSSSAG00000086918.1)". The record is from RNAcentral. Lineage: Eukaryota; Metazoa; Chordata; Actinopteri; Salmoniformes; Salmonidae.